AAUUUUGGACAAUGGGGGUAACCCUGAUCUAGCCAUCCCGCGUGUAUGAUGAAGGCCUNCGGGUUNUNAAGUACUUUUGGUAGAGNCGAACAGGUACCGCCUAAUACGAGGUACUGCUGACGGUAUCUGCAGAAUAAGCACCGGCCAACUUCGCGCCAGCAGCCGCGGUAAUACGUAGGGUGCAAGCGUUAAUCGGAAUUACUGGGCGUAAAGCGUGUGUAGGCGGUUCGGAAAGAAAGAUGUGAAAUGCCAGGGCUCAACCUUGGAACUGCAUUUUUAACUGCCGGGCUAGAAUAUGUCAGAGGGGGGUAGAAUUUCACGUGUAGCAGUGAAAUGCGUAGAUAUGUGGAGGAAUACCGAUUGCGAAGGCAGCCCCCUGAGAUAAUACUGACGCUCAGACACGAAAGCGUGGGGAGCAAACA
RNAcentral lists this ribosomal RNA (422 nucleotides) under uncultured bacterium. Its description in RNAcentral is "partial 16S ribosomal RNA". It matches the Rfam family "Bacterial small subunit ribosomal RNA", at positions 360 to 774 of the family's 1533-position model. The record is from RNAcentral.